This 482-nucleotide ribosomal RNA is filed under the name uncultured bacterium. RNAcentral describes it as "partial 16S ribosomal RNA". It matches the Rfam family "Bacterial small subunit ribosomal RNA", at positions 28 to 507 of the family's 1533-position model. The record is from RNAcentral.
GAUGAACGCUGGCGGCGUGCCUAAUACAUGCAAGUCGAACGCUUCACUUCGGUGAAGAGUGGCGAACGGGUGAGUAAUACAUAAGUAACCUGGCAUCUACAGGGGGAUAACUGAUGGAAACGUCAGCUAAGACCGCAUAGGCGUAGAGAUCGCAUGAACUCUAUAUGAAAAGUGCUACGGGACUGGUAGAUGAUGGACUUAUGGCGCAUUAGCUUGUUGGUAGGGUAACGGCCUACCAAGGCGACGAUGCGUAGCCGACCUGAGAGGGUGACCGGCCACACUGGGACUGAGACACGGCCCAGACUCCUACGGGAGGCAGCAGUAGGGAAUUUUCGGCAAUGGGGGAAACCCUGACCGAGCAACGCCGCGUGAAGGAAGAAGUAAUUCGUUAUGUAAACUUCUGUCAUAGAGGAAGAACGGUGGAUAUAGGGAAUGAUAUCCAAGUGACGGUACUCUAUAAGAAAGCCACGGCUAACUACGUG